RNAcentral lists this long non-coding RNA (407 nucleotides) under Equus asinus (donkey). RNAcentral's name for it is "lncRNA (ENSEASG00005032130.1)". The record is from RNAcentral. Lineage: Eukaryota; Metazoa; Chordata; Mammalia; Perissodactyla; Equidae.
AUCAGAGUUCACUGAAGAAGAGGCAUGAAAACACUUUGGAAAAUUCAAGGCACUACACAAAUGUGAGGAAUGAUUAUUGAGUAAAAACUUUCAAAGCUGCCUCACAAAAUUCCUGAAAACGUAACAGCUGGCUCUUGUGAUCUGCAGGAACCCACUCCAGCACGUCACCGCAACGAGUGGGCCCACCAGGGCAUCUUGUCGCCAAGCUGGAAAGCAAGUGUAUGGGAGAGCAUGUGAAUGUGAGCCAUACUCCAGAAGAAAUGUCAGACGGGCUGAGAGUAAGGAGGUCCAGGGUCGUGAUGCAGUGAGCACAAAGGACAAGACGGAAGGAACGGAGAGCCAGCAGAAGAGUACCCCAGGGGUUCAAACCAAGCAAUGAAAAGUGUAACAUCGAAGGGGAAAGAAGG